UCACAUUAAAACAACAGUUCCCAUGCGAUCACCAAAGUUAAGCAACAUUGAGCCUGAUCAGUACUUAGAUGGGUGACCACUUUGGAAUACUGGGUGCUGCAAG
Non-coding RNA from Acanthosepion pharaonis, 103 nucleotides. The record is from the annotation of a GenBank genome assembly. NCBI's taxonomy places the organism in Eukaryota, Metazoa, Mollusca, Cephalopoda, Sepiida, Sepiidae.